This is an RNA transcript of Cyanidioschyzon merolae strain 10D, 1603 nucleotides long. RefSeq lists it as hypothetical. Lineage: Eukaryota; Rhodophyta; Bangiophyceae; Cyanidiales; Cyanidiaceae. The transcript has a single exon. The record is from RefSeq and is a predicted model, not a curated record.
GACAGCGUUGCUGGACUUGUGAGCACUGGGCCUUAGGCAAACAGCGCUAUGCGCAUGCACGUGGGUGCACAGCACCGCAAACCCAUGAAAAGACUCCAUGUGAACUGAGGUGUUGGCAAGAACAAGACUAAAAGUAAGAGCGUCUGCGAAAGUCCGCUGGGUGGAAGCCUCUGCCCACCGAGCGAUCGAGAAAACUGCAAGAGGGAUGCGGGCCUCCGUCGCGCUCUACCUGCACGCACCGACAACCGGGGCGGUGCUUCGCUAGACGAGCGGGUGGAGCAGCGGCGCGCUCGAUGUCGCAACACACACAGACCAAAGCAUGCUGUAUCCGUUAAGCGCUAGGAAUUUCGUAUGCACGUUCAGAUGCCAACAUGUCGCGGGGUGGUAGAGUCGAAUGCGCUGCUGGCCGGACGGCACAGCAUCGCCGCAUGAUCGCGGAAACGGCGACGGCCAGCAGCUUCAAUCUGUAACCUGUCUCCGUUUUGAUGAAUUCGCGCCAACUUGCAACGAGUUUCUGUUCUCUUUAAGCCUAUGAUAGAACAAAACGGAACAGGUUGUCCAAUUCGCAGGUACACGCAAAAAUUCUGGGUCUCCUCCCGCUGCGAUCAACGCUGGCAUUUUAGGGUAUUAUUCGGGGUCCGCUUCCUUUUCCUCUCUAGUCUCCGGUUCAAAAUACGCUGGACUCUUCUGUCACUCCUGCGCCGUGCUCACCAUUCGAAGGACGCUGAUGGCAGCGUGAGAGCACCGAUGUCGCUGGAUAUGGCUGUUGUCGACUCUUUCCAUGAAGAGACGGGAGCAGCGGUCGACCUAUCGCUUGCAAUUCUCGGCUUUAUACACAGCCUGUCGAUGUGCGCUUCGCAGCGGUGAUACAAGAAUGUGGAGAGGUGAUUCUACAUGUCCACUACAUGUCGUCCUCCGGGGGCCACUAUGCGACAUACGAAUGCUUGCUUGAUCGCUCGGUACAUGGCCUUGACGGGUACAGAAGGCGCCGCUCGAUGCCCCACGCCAUAACCGUGCCCGAUGCGGUUCGCGACGAUCACGGGCUUCAUCUGGAGGAUGUCUUCGAACAUUACUCCGGUCGCUGUACGUAGAAGCGCACACUGUUCAACUAGAUUCAAGAUCUGAGGAACGCGAUGUUGUUCAUGUUGCAGCGAGUACCGGAAAGAGAAUGCGUGUUGGAGAAUACGUCGAGAGAUUGACAUGCCUCUAGGUUCCAGUCGCGUCAAUCGGCGACCUACGAUUCAACGUUAGAGAGACAGCUGCGAUAACACAAGCCGAGUCCGCGACCAUUUUCGAUGCAAAAAGAAACAACGGGAGUCUCUCGAAGCAUAACUCGUGCGGCCUAACAUGCUACUUCCGUCGAAUGCCGCUCCGUAGCUUGCCAAAAAAAGACAAGGAUUCGGCUCUCGAUUCUCUGACGUGAGACGCUCGAUGAACUUCCGCAACGCACUUGUAAAGAAUGCGUCAAGGGGCGUUGUCUGCUUUUUUUCUUCGUCAGUCGUGCAAUACGAAUUGCAGCGCCCACGAGUUGCAUUGAAAGACGUAGAUAGAAAACUGAACUAAUGCGAGAUUUGAGCGUGCUACACGUAAGUAAAGAACAAGU